This 568-nucleotide unclassified non-coding RNA is filed under the name Hevea brasiliensis (rubber tree). The record is from RNAcentral. Lineage: Eukaryota; Viridiplantae; Streptophyta; Magnoliopsida; Malpighiales; Euphorbiaceae.
GGAAGAAGAGAAAGAGAAAGAAGGGAUUAGGAGUUCGGGAAGCAGAGUAAAGGGUGGAGGAAGAUGGCCAUCAUUGCAGUUGUAGAUCACUCAAAAUCCUACCAAUCUUAGCAAACUUUUGGCUAAACCACCUUGCAAAACUCAUCUACACCUGUUCUAUGCUUUGAACCAAGCCUUGGUUCAUUUAUUCUCUCACUCAAGAAAACGAAAUCAAGGAAGAAAAGAAAGGUUCUGCUGCUGUCUUCUCUUCAUUCUCAGCAUUUCUAACAUCCUUGAGGCGAACUAGCAGCACCUGUGCCUCACUUGAACACAGAAUGAUCUCUUAGAAUAGGAGAGAAAGGCUUGAAGAUUUGGUUACUAUCCCUUGCACAAAGGAUUUUUGCUGUGCAUAAAAAUAAAAAGGUUGCGUUGGGAGUCAUUUUCGUUAUCGUAAGGCAGAAGACAAAUGUUCUUCCCUACAAUCCUCAUGUAUUGCUGAUCUCAAGUUGUUUAAGAACAAGAAAUGCAAAGAUUUGAAAUCAAAGAAAGUUGGUAACGAUGCAUCUUCUUUUUGGAGAUAACUUAACAA